UUUCCGUAGGCGAACCUGCGGAAGGAUCAUUAUUGUAUAACCGAGGUGCGAGGGCUUUCGCUGACCCGAAAGGUCGUGCACGCCCGAGUGCCCUCACACACAUCCAUCUCACCCCUAUGUGCACCACCGCGUGGGUCCCCCUUUGGCUUGUUCGGAGGGGGGCUUACGUUUUCACACAAACUUUGUAUGCAGUGUAGAAUGUAUUUUUUGUUUUUGCGAUCACGCAAUCAAUACAACUUUCAACAACGGAUCUCUUGGCUCUC
This 263-nucleotide unclassified non-coding RNA is filed under the name plant metagenome. RNAcentral's name for it is "partial contains small subunit ribosomal RNA, internal transcribed spacer 1, and 5.8S ribosomal RNA". The record is from RNAcentral.